This 959-nucleotide ribosomal RNA is filed under the name human gut metagenome. Its description in RNAcentral is "bacterial SSU rRNA". It matches the Rfam family "Bacterial small subunit ribosomal RNA", at positions 8 to 987 of the family's 1533-position model. The record is from RNAcentral.
AGAGUUUGAUUCUGGCUCAGAACGAACGCUGGCGGCGUGGAUAAGACAUGCAAGUCGAACGGGAGAAUUGCUAGCUUGCUAAUAAUUCUCUAGUGGCGCACGGGUGAGUAACACGUGAGUAACCUGCCCCCGAGAGCGGGAUAGCCCUGGGAAACUGGGAUUAAUACCGCAUAGUAUCGAAAGAUUAAAGCAGCAAUGCGCUUGGGGAUGGGCUCGCGGCCUAUUAGUUAGUUGGUGAGGUAACGGCUCACCAAGGCGAUGACGGGUAGCCGGUCUGAGAGGAUGUCCGGCCACACUGGAACUGAGACACGGUCCAGACACCUACGGGUGGCAGCAGUCGAGAAUCAUUCACAAUGGGGGAAACCCUGAUGGUGCGACGCCGCGUGGGGGAAUGAAGGUCUUCGGAUUGUAAACCCCUGUCAUGUGGGAGCAAAUUAAAAAGAUAGUACCACAAGAGGAAGAGACGGCUAACUCUGUGCCAGCAGCCGCGGUAAUACAGAGGUCUCAAGCGUUGUUCGGAAUCACUGGGCGUAAAGCGUGCGUAGGCUGUUUCGUAAGUCGUGUGUGAAAGGCGCGGGCUCAACCCGCGGACGGCACAUGAUACUGCGAGACUAGAGUAAUGGAGGGGGAACCGGAAUUCUCGGUGUAGCAGUGAAAUGCGUAGAUAUCGAGAGGAACACUCGUGGCGAAGGCGGGUUCCUGGACAUUAACUGACGCUGAGGCACGAAGGCCAGGGGAGCGAAAGGGAUUAGAUACCCCUGUAGUCCUGGCAGUAAACGGUGCACGCUUGGUGUGCGGGGAAUCGACCCCCUGCGUGCCGGAGCUAACGCGUUAAGCGUGCCGCCUGGGGAGUACGGUCGCAAGAUUAAAACUCAAAGAAAUUGACGGGGACCCGCACAAGCGGUGGAGUAUGUGGCUUAAUUCGAUGCAACGCGAAGAACCUUACCUGGGCUUGACAU